CCCUUAGAUGUUCUGGGCCGCACGCGCGCUACACUGAUGCAUUCAACGAGCCUAUCCUUGACCGACAGGUCCGGGUAAUCUUUGAAUCUGCAUCGUGACGGGGAUAGAUUAUUGCAAUUAUUAAUCUUCAACGAGGAAUGCCUAGUAGGCGCAAGUCAUCAGCUUGCGUCGAUUACGUCCCUGCCAUUUGUACACACCGCCCGUCGCUCCUACCGAUUGGGUGUGCUGGUGAAAUGUUCGGAUCGGCCGUUUGUCGCGGUUUCCGCGUCAUGUGGCUGAGAAGUUCAUUAAACCCUCCCACCUAGAGGAAGGAGAAGUCGUAACA
RNAcentral lists this ribosomal RNA (325 nucleotides) under uncultured eukaryote. RNAcentral describes it as "partial 18S ribosomal RNA". It matches the Rfam family "Eukaryotic small subunit ribosomal RNA", at positions 1470 to 1796 of the family's 1831-position model. The record is from RNAcentral.